UACGGAGGGUGCAAGCAUUAAUCGGAUUUAUUGGGCGUAAAGGGCGCGUAGGCGGAGAUAAAAGUCAGAUGUGAAAUCCCGGGGCUCAACCUCGGAACAGCAUUUGAAACUCUAUCCCUUGAGGGUAGGCGGAGAAAACGGAAUUCCACAAGUAGCGGUGAAAUGCGUAGAUAUGUGGAAGAACACCAGUGGCGAAGGCGGUUUUCUAGCUUAUUCCUGACGCUAAAGCGCGAAAGCAAGGGGAUCAAACAGG
Molecule: ribosomal RNA, 253 nt
Filed under: uncultured bacterium
Lineage: Bacteria
Description: partial 16S ribosomal RNA
Rfam family: Bacterial small subunit ribosomal RNA
Source: RNAcentral